GACGAACGCUGGCGGCGUGCUUAACACAUGCCAGUCGAACGGAAAGGCCCUGCUUUUGUGGGGUGCUCGAGUGGCGAACGGGUGAGUAACACGUGAGUAACCUGCACUUGACUUUGGGAUAACUUCAGGAAACUGGGGCUAAUACCGGAUAGGAGCUCCUGCUGCAUGGUGGGGGUUGGAAAGAUUCGGCGGUUGGGGAUGGACUCGCAGCUUAUCAGCUUGUUGGUGGGGUAGUGGCUUACCAAGGCUUUGACGGGUAGCCGGCCUGAGAGGGUGACCGGCCACAUUGGGACUGAGAUACGGCCCAGACUCCUACGGGAGGCAGCAGUGGGGAAUAUUGCACAAUGGGCGGAAGCCUGAUGCAGCAACGCCGCGUGCGGGAUGACGGCCUUCGGGUUGUAAACCGCUUUCGCUUGUGACGAAGCGUGAGUGACGGUAAUGGGUAAAGAAGCACCGGCUAACUACGUG
RNAcentral lists this ribosomal RNA (468 nucleotides) under uncultured bacterium. RNAcentral's name for it is "partial 16S ribosomal RNA". It matches the Rfam family "Bacterial small subunit ribosomal RNA", at positions 28 to 507 of the family's 1533-position model. The record is from RNAcentral.